GCUCGAAAGUAUGGGUAGCAAACAGAUUAGAUACCUGGUAGUCCAUACCGUAAACGAUGAAUGCUAAGUGUUGGAGGGUUUCCCCCUUCAGUGCUGCAGCUAACGCAUUAAGCAUUCCGCCUGGGGAGUACGGCCGCAAGGCUGAAACUCAAAGGAAUUGACGGGGGCCCGCACAAGCGGUGGAGCAUGUGGUUUAAUUCGAAGCUACGCGAAGAACCUUACCAGGUCUUGACAUACUAUGCAAAUCUAAGAGAUUAGACGUUCCCUUCGGGGACAUGGAUACAGGUGGUGCAUGGUUGUCGUCAGCUCGUGUCGUGAGAUGUUGGGUUAAGUCCCGCAACGAGCGCAACCCUUAUUAUCAGUUGCCAGCAUUAAGUUGGGCACUCUGGUGAGACUGCCGGUGACAAACCGGAGGAAGGUGGGGAUGACGUCAAAUCAUCAUGCCCCUUAUGACCUGGGCUACACACGUGCUACAAUGGAUGGUACAACGAGUUGCGAACUCGCGAGAGUAAGCUAAUCUCUUAAAGCCAUUCUCAGUUCGGAUUGUAGGCUGCAACUCGCCUACAUGAAGUCGGAAUCGCUAGUAAUCGCGGAUCAGCAUGCCGCGGUGAAUACGUUCCCGGGCCUUGUACACACCGCCCGUCACACCAUGAGAGUUUGUAACACCCAAAGUCGGUGGGGUAACCUUUAGGAACCAGCCGCCUAAGGUGGGACAGAUGAUUAGGGUGAAGUCGUAACAAGGUAACCA
Molecule: ribosomal RNA, 748 nt
Filed under: uncultured Lactobacillus sp.
Lineage: Bacteria; Bacillati; Bacillota; Bacilli; Lactobacillales; Lactobacillaceae
Description: bacterial SSU rRNA
Rfam family: Bacterial small subunit ribosomal RNA
Source: RNAcentral